RNAcentral lists this ribosomal RNA (457 nucleotides) under Polybia striata. RNAcentral describes it as "partial large subunit ribosomal RNA". The stretch from base 332 to 457 matches the Rfam family "Bacterial large subunit ribosomal RNA", at positions 2473 to 2599 of the family's 2925-position model. Lineage: Eukaryota; Metazoa; Arthropoda; Insecta; Hymenoptera; Vespidae. The record is from RNAcentral.
AGUCAUUCUGCCCAUUGAUUUUAAAAGGCUGCGGUAUAUUAACUGUACAAAGGUAGCAAAAUAAAUAGUUUUUUAAUUGAAAACUUGAAUGAAAGAGUUGAUAAAAUAUAAAUUGUUUCAAAAAUUUAAUUUAAAUUAAAAGUUAAAAUGCUUUUAUUAUUUUAUUAGACGAUAAGACCCUAAGAAUUUAAUUAUUUAAAUUAUUUUGAAAAAUUUAUUAAUAUAAUUUAAUUUUGUUGGGAGGAUAAUAAAAUUAAACUUUUAUUUAAAAAAAUAUUUAUAAAUAAAUUUAAUGAUUAUUAUUAAGAUUAUUAGAAAAAAUUACCUUAGGGAUAACAGCGUAAUAAUUUUGGAGAGUUCAUAUUGAUAAAAUUGUUUGCGACCUCGAUGUUGAAUUAAAAUAAAAUUUAAAUGAAGAAAUUUAAGGUUUUAGUCUGUUCGACUAUUAAAAUUUUAC